UCUAUUUUCUAGUAUAUAUAAAGCAUACGACAUGGGAUAUACUUUUACUUGACAUCAAUUCAUGAAGCAUAAUACCUUAGUUUUCACAUGUAUGGCGAUCACAUAAAUUUAAAUAUCCUAUAAAUACGUUUGCAUGUCCUAAGCAAUAGGGGGAAAGCAUUUGAACUAGCUUGCAUGUCUAUAUUAUGUCAUUCUAUGCGUGUAGACUAUCACGUGGCAAUCACACCACCACUUUUGCAUGAUGAAUUGUGCAUAUUGAAUGAUAGGGCUCAAACAUAUUCAAUGGAUCUUUGACACAUUUGAUUAGAAUUAAUCUUAGUGCAUGUUUGAUAUGACUUAUUUAAUGACCAUAAGUGUUUAUUUAAUUCCAUAAGCUCUUAUCAUAUUUUUUGUUGUUAUUGGGUGAUUUUUCUAAUAGAGCUUUUGAAUUUUAAAUAAACUAUUUUGCCCCUACUAGUAAAAGCUCAAAUUUUGGGUUUUUGGGAGUAGA
This 490-nucleotide long non-coding RNA is filed under the name Citrus x clementina. Its description in RNAcentral is "Citrus clementina (C. clementina) long non-coding RNA (CCLE_LNC003988)". The record is from RNAcentral. Lineage: Eukaryota; Viridiplantae; Streptophyta; Magnoliopsida; Sapindales; Rutaceae.